UUUUUUUCGCUGUCGCUGACGGUGGAGACUCCAGAGAAAAGCCUAGGAAAGCAAAGCAGAGCAGCGGAAGCAAUAUGAGUUGGGCGUGUUUGGGAGUUUCGGGCCAAUAGAAAAGCCCAGGCCCAAAUACUAGAACCCAUUAUCUUCUUUAAACCCUAUGUACUCUGGUCUCAAAACCCGUGUCCUAUCCUCGAUCUUCUCUCUCUUUGAACUGGAAAUUUUCUUCAUUUCUUGGUGCCAUUGUUUCAAGAAAUGAAUUUUGCUCGAUUAGUUACUCGUUUGGGUUUCCGAAAUCUGUCAGUUUCUUCGUUUCACUCGACAACACCACUGCCAGCCCACCAUGUAUUUGGAAGGGCAAGGAAAGACUCACUGAACGAGCUCUACCGUCGGAUUUCGCCGGUCGGAGAUCCAAAGGUCUCUAUUAUUCCGAUUCUUGACCGUUGGAUUGAAGAAGGAAGAUCCGUAAAUAAAAACCAACUCCAAGUUUUUAUCAAGGAAUUUCGGUACUACAAGCGUUACAGUCAUGCUCUUGAGAUUUCAAUGUGGAUGACUGAUAAAAGAUACUUUGCACUUACAACUCGUGAUGUUGCCCUCCGGCUGGACUUGAUAUCAAAAGUUCAUGGUAUAGAACAAGCGGAGAGAUAUUUCAAUAAUAUUCCACAACAACUCAAAGUCCUUGAGGUUUAUGGUGCGCUUCUCAACUGCUAUGCCUAUGCAAGAUCUGUUGAAAAAGCAGAGGCAGUAAUGCAGAAGAUGAGGGAUUUGGGUUUCUGUAGGGAAACAUUGACUUACAAUGUAAUGCUUAAUCUUUAUUAUCAGACUGGAAAUGUUGAGAAAUUUGAUGCACUAACGCAUGAGAUGGAAGAAAAUGGCAUUGCUUAUGACAAAUUUACACUUACCAUUCGACUGAGUGCAUAUGCAGCUGUUUCUGACAUUGAGGGAAUGGAGAAGACUAUAAAAAAGAUGGAAUCUGAUUCAAGGGUUGUUUUGGACUGGGCUAUUUAUGCUGCCGCAGCAAGUGGGUAUACAAAAGCUGGGCUUGUGGACAAGGCUUUGGAAAUGCUGAAGAAAUCUGAGGGACUUAUUACUAGCAAAAAAAGAAGUACAGCAUAUAAUUUCCUUCUGACACAAUAUGCUGCAACAGGGAAGAAAGAUGAAGUAUUAAGACUCUGGGAACUAUACAAGAAGAAAGCAAAGAUUUACAAUAUUGGGUAUUUUAGCAUCAUCUCGUCUCUAUCAAAGCUUGAUGACUUUGAAAGUGCAGAAAAGAUUUUCGAGGAGUGGGAAUCCCAGAAUCUAAAAUAUGAUAUUCGUGUUCCAAAUUUCCUCAUUGGUGCAUAUUCCAGAAAAGGUCAUUUGGAUAGGGCUGAAACACUUAUCAACAGGGUAAUAUCGAAAGGAGAGAAACCUGAUGCGUUUACAUGGUUUCAUUUGGCAGAAGGAUACCUUCAGAAUAAUCAGAUUUCAAAUGCUGUUGAAAUGAUGAAAAAAGCAGUGGUAGUUUCUACACCCGGGUGGAAGCCAACCUGUGAAAGUGUGACUUCCUGUCUGGAGCACUUGAAAGAGGUGGGAGAUUUAGACAAAGCAGAAGAGUUGAUAAAAUUACUUCUUGACAAAGACAUUAUUUCUUUAGAUGUCCAAGAAAGAUUGUUGAAUGGUAUGAAAGCUGAGAAUUCAAGCUUGGUUACACUUGGGGCAUUAAAUGAUGAUUAAUUGCUUCAAAAUGGCAACACAUUGAGUAGUUCUUGGAGCCAGAGGGGGAUAGUAGUUAUUGGAUAUCAGAGGAGAAAUGUGUAAUGCAAAUCUGAAAAGUCUCUUAAAUGUGAGAGCAAAAGAAAUGAAGCAGAUGUGGGAAAGACUUAGGAUGUUCAUUCUAGGAAAUAUAUUUAUCUGUUAUGAACUGGUCCAUGAUUAAAAGCAAGCUACGUCCUGUUUCUUCAUUUCAGAUUAGCAAAGAAAACUGUUAUUUAAUUGCUUGAUCAAAAUGCUUUUAGUUUGUUGAAAACAUGGAAGCUUGAGAGACUGAUUUCUCACUUUGUUGAAUCUAGGUGGCUGCGGCCAAACAUUCAGAACAACUAUAGAUGGAUAGUUGUGGCUGAAUUUUAGUAAGAGAGCACCAAUUUGCUUCCAUUUUGUUGAAAAAUGGGUAGUCUGGUGAUUGAUUGGAACGGAGCGAAAGAUCAUGUACCUUCCAAUUUAAGAACAAUUUAAAAUCUUUUAACUUAAUGAUUUU
Molecule: unclassified non-coding RNA, 2233 nt
Filed under: Hevea brasiliensis (rubber tree)
Lineage: Eukaryota; Viridiplantae; Streptophyta; Magnoliopsida; Malpighiales; Euphorbiaceae
Source: RNAcentral